Molecule: non-coding RNA, 843 nt
Organism: Cinara cedri
Lineage: Eukaryota; Metazoa; Arthropoda; Insecta; Hemiptera; Aphididae
Source: the annotation of a GenBank genome assembly
GCACGACCGUCACCUGUAGCGGAAGUGUCGUAGCCAAUGUCGGCCGGUCGGUGACUAGUCCGGCGGAAAUAUGUGGAGUUAAAGACGAUACAAUAAUGUAAUUUAGCGAUCGGUCUGGACGGUACUCCGACGAAAACGUGCGUUGACCGCUUGCCGGUCACGGUGAUCAAGUGAUCCGCCACAGGAUAUCGAAAUAAUCGAGUUAACGUUUAAUUCGGGCGCGGACAUGGGUCACAACAAAACCUUUUUCACCUCCAGUCGGGUCCUGGCCAUGACGGCCGUCCCGUCUUCGUAAACCGUACACUGGUAUUCGACAGGUCCGCGUACUUCGGUGCCGUACGCAUUACGGCAUAAUAAUUUUCCGCGAAAAUGAAACCGACGUGAGCCGCGUUCAUUGUGAUCGUCAACGGGUCAGUCAUUGUAACGGUUCCGGAACUCUUACUAGCAGUGUUGUGUUUUGACGGAAAUAUUAACGAGUGCGUACACAAAUUAACUAUUUUCUGUUUCGCAAUCGUAUUUGUUAUUCACCGGAUUGUAUAUUUCGGUAGGCAAAUACUAUAAUACGAUUAUAAUAAAAACGCGGUUGUCGUUAGUUAGUAACGAAAAUAAUAUUGGCCAUCUAUUUUUGUUUGUUUCAGCUACGUCACACCGCGGUUUCGAUCGUCAUUCGCAGUGGUGUGCCCGGGAAUUUUCAGCUAGAGGGGGCGUGGCAAGAAUACAGAAUUGCAAAAUCGUCUUAUCUGCGAGACUCGAUUACGGGAGUUAUUGGUAAUUUAAAAACCGGAUCCUUGAAAAAAUAAACUAUUCCUUAUUUAUACAUCAAGUUUUAACAAGUAAUUUGGC